CCUACGGGAGGCAGCAGUGAGGAAUAUUGCGCAAUGGGGGCAACCCUGACGCAGCAACGCCGCGUGAGUGAGGAAGGUUUUCGGACCGUAAAGCUCUGUCGAGCGGGAAGAAAUGUAUCAUGGCUAAUAUCCAUGAUACUUGACGGUACCGCUAAAGGAAGCACCGGCUAACUCCGUGCCAGCAGCCGCGGUAAUACGGGGGGUGCGAGCGUUGUUCGGAAUUAUUGGGCGUAAAGAGCGUGUAGGCGGCUGGAUCAGUCAGAUGUGAAAUCCCUGGGCUUAACCCAGGACGUGCAUUUGAAACUGUCCAGCUUGAGUAGGGGAGAGGAAAGUGGAAUUCCUGGUGUAGAGGUGAAAUUCGUAGAUAUCAGGAGGAACACCGGUGGCGAAGGCGACUUUCUGGCCCUAUACUGACGCUGAGACGCGAGAGCGUGGGUA
RNAcentral lists this ribosomal RNA (438 nucleotides) under uncultured bacterium. RNAcentral's name for it is "bacterial SSU rRNA". It matches the Rfam family "Bacterial small subunit ribosomal RNA", at positions 338 to 767 of the family's 1533-position model. The record is from RNAcentral.